UGAGUGCGAGCUGCUACGGCAGCGAAGUUGGUGACGUCAAGCUUCCAAGAAAAGCCCUAUACCCGUUAAGGCAUCAUGGCCUGUACCCGAAACCGACACAGGUGGGGUGGUAGAGAAUACCGAGGGGCGCGAGGUAACUCUCUCUAAGGAACUCGGCAAAAUGGCCCCGUAACUUCGGGAGAAGGGGUGCCACCGCAAGGUGGUCGCAGUGAAGAGGCCCAGGCGACUGUUUACCAAAAACACAGGUCUCCGCUAAGUCGCAAGACGAUGUAUGGGGGCUGACGCCUGCCCAGUGCCGGAAGGUUAAGGAAGCUGGUCAGCGCAAGCGAAGCUGGCGACUGAAGCCCCGGUGAACGGCGGCCGUAACUAUAACGGUCCUAAGGUAGCGAAAUUCCUUGUCGGGUAAGUUCCGACCCGCACGAAAGGCGUAACGAUCUGGGCGCUGUCUCGGAGAGAGGCUCGGCGAAAUAGAAUUGUCUGUGAAGAUGCGGACUACGUGCACCCGGACAGAAAGACCCUAUGAAGCUUUACUGUAGCUUGGUAUUGUGCCCGGGCUCUGAAUGCGCAGGAUAGGUGGGAGGCUUUGAUCAUCGGCUUGCGGGUCGAUGUGAGCCAACGGUGAGAUACCACUCUUUCAGAGCUAGGGUUCUAACAGUCACCCGUUAUCCGGGGACUGGACAGUAUCAGGUGGGCAGUUUGACUGGGGCGGUCGCCUCCUAAAAGGUAACGGAGGCGCGCAAAGGUCUGCUCAGGCUGGUUGGAAAUCAGCCGACGAGUGUAAAAGCAGAAGCAGGCUUGACUGUGAGACCUACAAGUCGAACAGGGAGGAAACUCGGCUUUAGUGAUCCGACGGUUCUGCGUGGAAGGGCCGUCGCUCAACGGAUAAAAGUUACUCUAAGGAUAACAGGCUGAUCUUCCCCAAGAGUUCACAUCGACGGGGAGGUUUGGCACCUCGAUGUCGGCUCAUCGCAACCUGGGGCUGAAGUCGGUCCCAAGGGUUGGGCUGUUCGCCCAUUAAAGCGGUACGCGAGCUGGGUUCAGAACGUCGUGAGACAGUUCGGUCCAUAUCCGGUGCAUGCGCAGGAAUAUUGAGAGGAGUUCUCCCUAGUACGAGAGGACCGGGAGGAACGCACCUCUGGUGUACCAGUUAUCGUGCCAACGGUAAACGCUGGGUAGCCAUGUGCGGAGAGGAUAACCGCUGAAAGCAUCUAAGUGGGAAGCCCACCUCAAGAUGAGUAUUCCCAUGGCGUUAGCCAGUAAGGUCACGGGAAGAACACCCGUUGAUAGGCUCUAUGUGGAAGCGCAGUAAUGCGUGAAGCAGAGGAGUACUAAUAGACCGAGGGCUUGAC
This 1349-nucleotide ribosomal RNA is filed under the name metagenome. RNAcentral's name for it is "bacterial LSU rRNA". It matches the Rfam family "Bacterial large subunit ribosomal RNA", at positions 1564 to 2925 of the family's 2925-position model. The record is from RNAcentral.